UAGGGAAUAUUGCAAAAUGGGCGAAAGCCCGAUGCAGCAACACCGCGUGGGCGAUGAAGGCCUUCGGGUCGUAAAGCCCUUUUUGAGGGGAUGAGGAAGGACAGUACCCUCAGAAUAAGCCUCGGCUAACUACGUGCCAGCAGCCGCGGUAAAACGUAGGAGGCGAGCGUUAUCCGGAUUUACUGGGCGUAAAGCGCGUGCAGGCGGAUUGGAGAGUUGGAUGUGAAAGCUCCCGGCUUAACUGGGAGAGGUCGUUCAAUACUUCCAGUCUUGAGUGCAGUAGAGGGAAGUGGAAUUCCGGGUGUAGUGGUGAAAUGCGUAGAUAUCCGGAGGAACACCAGUGGCGAAAGCGGCUUCCUGGACUGUAACUGACGCUCAGACGCGAAAGCUAGGGUAGCAAACG
RNAcentral lists this ribosomal RNA (403 nucleotides) under uncultured bacterium. Its description in RNAcentral is "bacterial SSU rRNA". It matches the Rfam family "Bacterial small subunit ribosomal RNA", at positions 355 to 774 of the family's 1533-position model. The record is from RNAcentral.